Molecule: ribosomal RNA, 604 nt
Filed under: uncultured bacterium
Lineage: Bacteria
Description: bacterial SSU rRNA
Rfam family: Bacterial small subunit ribosomal RNA (bases 1-524)
Source: RNAcentral
CCUACGGGAGGCAGCAGUGGGGAAUAUUGGGCAAUGGAGGAAACUCUGACCCAGCGACGCCGCGUGCGGGAUGAAGGCCUUCGGGUUGUAAACCGCUUUCAGCAGGGAAGAAGCGAAAGUGACGGUACCUGCAGAAGAAGCACCGGCUAACUAUGUGCCAGCAGCCGCGGUAAUACAUAGGGUGCAAGCGUUGUCCGGAAUUAUUGGGCGUAAAGAGCUCGUAGGUGGUUCGUCACGUCGGAUGUGAAAAUCUGGGGCUUAACCCCAGACCUGCAUUCGAUACGGGCGAGCUUGAGUAUGGUAGGGGAGUCUGGAAUUCCUGGUGUAGCGGUGGAAUGCGCAGAUAUCAGGAGGAACACCAAUGGCGAAGGCAGGACUCUGGGCCAUUACUGACACUGAGGAGCGAAAGCGUGGGGAGCGAACAGGAUUAGAUACCCUGGUAGUCCACGCCGUAAACGGUGGGCACUAGUUGUGGGGACCUUCCACGGUCUCUGCGACGCAGCUAACGCAUUAAGUGCCCCGCCUGGGGAGACGACCGCGAGAGUAAACUAACUAAGUAGUUAGUUAGUAGNGNGAGNGCGCGACGACGACGACGGAGGAGGAG